UGUUUUAACUUUUUUUAUAAAAGAUAAAAGAUAAAGAGAUCUAGUACUUGCCCGGCCCCAGCCAAAUGAAACCCCAGACAUCAUUUUGGGUGCAUACAAAAGUGCAUCCCGGCAUUGAAGUGUUUCUGUUGGUCAAAGGAAAAAACUACAUCCUCCCUCCAUCAGUGUCAAACAAGAGAUUGUCGCACCCAAGAUUCAGCUCAAGUAUCCGUCGUUCCAGACAACAACUGUAUCCUGUUCAACUGGUGGAUAGUUCUCUGGGCCUGUCUCUUUCAGUCAGGAGCAGAUAGCCCUGUCACAGGGGCCCCACUGAGUCCCUUGGAGAUCACCACCCAGACUGACACUACAUCGUCUGGGCCAAGAUACCCCACCCCCUCGCGAUUAGUGCCUGCAGACAGCAGACACCACACCGGCC
Esox lucius (northern pike) is the source of this 415-nucleotide long non-coding RNA. The record is from Ensembl. Lineage: Eukaryota; Metazoa; Chordata; Actinopteri; Esociformes; Esocidae.